This 253-nucleotide ribosomal RNA is filed under the name uncultured bacterium. RNAcentral describes it as "partial 16S ribosomal RNA". It matches the Rfam family "Bacterial small subunit ribosomal RNA", at positions 524 to 776 of the family's 1533-position model. The record is from RNAcentral.
UACGUAGGGUGCGAGCGUUACUCGGAAUUACUGGGCGUAAAGCGUGCGCAGGCGGCUUCGCAAGUCAGACGUGAAAUCCCCGGGCUUAACCUGGGAAUGGCGUUUGAAACUACGGAGCUGGAGUGUGGCAGAGGGAGGUAGAAUUCCACGUGUAGCGGUGAAAUGCGUAGAUAUGUGGAGGAAUACCGAUGGCGAAGGCAGCCUCCUGGGUCAACACUGACGCUCAUGCACGAAAGCGUGGGGAGCAAACAGG